GGGGACAACAGCUGGAAACGGCUGCUAGUACCGCAUAAGCGCACAGGACCGCAUGGUACGGUGUGAAAAGAUUUAUCGGUGUAAGAUGGACUCGCGUCUGAUUAGUUAGUUGGCGGGGUAACGGCCCACCAAGACAACGAUCAGUAGCCGACUUGAGAGAGUGAUCGGCCACAUUGGGACUGAGACACGGCCCAAACUCCUACGGGAGGCAGCGGUGGGGAAUAUUGCACAAUGGGGGAAACCCUGAUGCAGCGACGCCGCGUGAGCGAAGAAGUAUUUCGGUAUGUAAAGCUCUAUCAGCAAGGAAGAUAAUGACGGUACUUGACUAAGAAGCUCCAGCUAAAUACGUGCCAGCAGCCGCGGUAAUACGUAUGGAGCAAGCGUUAUCCGGAUUUACUGGGUGUAAAGGGAGCGUAGACGGCAUGGCAAGUCUGAUGUGAAAGCCCGGGGCUCAACCCCGGAACUGCAUUGGAAACUGUCGUGCUAGAGUGCAGGAGAGGUAAGCGGAAUUCCUAGUGUAGCGGUGAAAUGCGUAGAUAUUAGGAGGAGCACCAGUGGCGAAGGCGGCUUACUGGACUGUAACUGACGUUGAGGCUCGAAAGCGUGGGGAGCAAACAGGAUUAGAUACCCUGGUAGUCCACGCCGUAAACGAUGAA
This 656-nucleotide ribosomal RNA is filed under the name uncultured bacterium. RNAcentral describes it as "bacterial SSU rRNA". It matches the Rfam family "Bacterial small subunit ribosomal RNA", at positions 139 to 813 of the family's 1533-position model. The record is from RNAcentral.